AGGUCUUGAAUACUCAUAAAGGCUCCAGAGAUGGAGAGAUAGCUAUAUGAGAUACAGGUGGUGCAUGGUUGUCGUCAGCUCGUGUCGUGAGAUGUUGGGUUAAGUCCCGCAACGAGCGCAACCCUUAUCGUUAGUUACCAUCAUUAAGUUGGGGACUCUAGCGAGACUGUCAGUGACAAGCUGGAGGAAGGCGGGGAUGACGUCAAAUCAUCAUGCCCCUUAUGACCUGGGCUACACACGUGCUACAAUGGAUGGUGCAGAGGGAAGCGAAGCCGCGAGGUGAAACAAAACCCAUAAAACCAUUCUCAGUUCGGAUUGUAGUCUGCAACUCGACUACAUGAAGUUGGAAUCGCUAGUAAUCGCGAAUCAGCAUGUCGCGGUGAAUACGUUCUCGGGUCUUGUACACACCG
RNAcentral lists this ribosomal RNA (410 nucleotides) under uncultured bacterium. RNAcentral describes it as "bacterial SSU rRNA". It matches the Rfam family "Bacterial small subunit ribosomal RNA", at positions 976 to 1392 of the family's 1533-position model. The record is from RNAcentral.